This 137-nucleotide small RNA is filed under the name Arabidopsis thaliana (thale cress). Its description in RNAcentral is "ATSL269460". Lineage: Eukaryota; Viridiplantae; Streptophyta; Magnoliopsida; Brassicales; Brassicaceae. The record is from RNAcentral.
AUUGUUAGAAGAUACAAUGACGAAGACUCAGACGGACUUCGGCUACACCAUCAAAGCUUUGAGAAGCAAGAAGCAGUUGGUUAGCGUUUUGGAGUCGAAUAUGACUUGAUGUUAUGUGUAUGAGUGAGUAUAAAAAC